RNAcentral lists this non-coding RNA (18 nucleotides) under Arabidopsis thaliana (thale cress). RNAcentral also lists the same sequence under 2 other names. The record is from RNAcentral. Lineage: Eukaryota; Viridiplantae; Streptophyta; Magnoliopsida; Brassicales; Brassicaceae.
CCCAGUGCUCUGAAUGUC